This 811-nucleotide ribosomal RNA is filed under the name uncultured Nocardioides sp. Its description in RNAcentral is "bacterial SSU rRNA". It matches the Rfam family "Bacterial small subunit ribosomal RNA", at positions 262 to 1086 of the family's 1533-position model. Lineage: Bacteria; Bacillati; Actinomycetota; Actinomycetes; Propionibacteriales; Nocardioidaceae. The record is from RNAcentral.
GGCUCACCAAGGCUUCGACGGGUAGCCGGCCUGAGAGGGUGACCGGCCACACUGGGACUGAGACACGGCCCAAACUCCUACGGGAGGCAGCAGUGGGGAAUAUUGGACAAUGGGCGAAAGCCUGAUCCAGCAACGCCGCGUGAGGGAUGACGGCCUUCGGGUUGUAAACCUCUUUCAGCAGGGACGAAGCGCAAGUGACGGUACCUGCAGAAGAAGCACCGGCCAACUACGUGCCAGCAGCCGCGGUAAUACGUAGGGUGCGAGCGUUGUCCGGAAUUAUUGGGCGUAAAGGGCUCGUAGGCGGUCUGUCACGUCGGGAGUGAAAACUCGGGGCUCAACCCCGAGCCUGCUUCCGAUACGGGCAGACUAGAGGUAUGCAGGGGAGAACGGAAUUCCUGGUGUAGCGGUGAAAUGCGCAGAUAUCAGGAGGAACACCGGUGGCGAAGGCGGUUCUCUGGGCAUUACCUGACGCUGAGGAGCGAAAGUGUGGGGAGCGUACAGGAUUAGAUACCCUGGUAGUCCACACCGUAAACGUUGGGCGCUAGGUGUGGGACUCAUUCCACGAGUUCCGUGCCGCAGCUAACGCAUUAAGCGCCCCGCCUGGGGAGUACGGCCGCAAGGCUAAAACACAAAGGAAUUGACGGGGGCCCGCACAAGCGGCGGAGCAUGCGGAUUAAUUCGAUGCAACGCGAAGAACCUUACCUGGGUUUGACAUAUGGAGAAAUCUCCCAGAGAUGGGAGGUCCGAAAGGGCUCCAUACAGGUGGUGCAUGGCUGUCGUCAGCUCGUGUCGUGAGAUGUUGGGUUAAGUC